RNAcentral lists this unclassified non-coding RNA (337 nucleotides) under uncultured fungus. RNAcentral's name for it is "partial contains small subunit ribosomal RNA, internal transcribed spacer 1, and 5.8S ribosomal RNA". The stretch from base 1 to 73 matches the Rfam family "Eukaryotic small subunit ribosomal RNA", at positions 1759 to 1831 of the family's 1831-position model. The record is from RNAcentral. Lineage: Eukaryota; Fungi.
GCAAACUUGGUCAUUUAGAGGAAGUAAAAGUCGUAACAAGGUUUCCGUAGGUGAACCUGCGGAAGGAUCAUUACUGAGGUCAUUCGGCGCUUGCGCCGGUUACCCGCCCUUUUGUCAUAAGAUGCUCGCCCCGCGGUCUUUUCGAUCGGGGAGGCGAGCAGUGGUUAUUUCCGCCGAAGCGUUGCGUCCUGCUCGAGAGAGGAGGUGCGUGACCGCGGCGGGCCAACUUUUUACAAACUCUGUGCAAGCAAACUGAAGUCUGAAAUUGUACAAAAUUGAAAAAAGCAAAACUUUCAACAACGGAUCUCUUGGCUCUGGCAUCGAUGAAGAACGCAGC